RNAcentral lists this ribosomal RNA (303 nucleotides) under uncultured bacterium. Its description in RNAcentral is "bacterial SSU rRNA". It matches the Rfam family "Bacterial small subunit ribosomal RNA", at positions 355 to 673 of the family's 1533-position model. The record is from RNAcentral.
UGGGGGAUAUUGCACAAUGGGGGGAACCCUGAUGCAGCGACGCCGCGUGAGGGAAGACGGUUUUCGGAUUGUAAACCUCUGUCUUUAGGGACGAAACAAAUGACGGUACCUAAAGAGGAAGCCACGGCUAACUACGUGCCAGCAGCCGCGGUAAUACGUAGGUGGCAAGCGUUGUCCGGAAUUACUGGGUGUAAAGGGAGCGUAGGCGGGAAUGCAAGUUGAAUGUUUAAACUAUGGGCUCAACCCAUAGUCGCGUUCAAAACUGCAUUUCUUGAGUGGAGUAGAGGCAGGCGGAAUUCCUAG